GAGUUUGAUCGUGGCUCAGGACGAACGCUGGCGGCGUGCUUAACACACGCAAGUCGAACGGUGACCUCGGAGCUUGCUCCGGGUGAUCAGUGGCGAACGGGUGAGUAACACGUGAGCAACCUGCCCCCGACUCUGGGAUAACCCCGGGAAAUCGGAGCUAAUACCGGAUACGAGACGCACAGGCAUCUGUUGCGUCUGGAAAGAAUUUCGGUCGGGGAUGGGCUCGCGGCCUAUCAGCUAGUUGGUGGGGUAGUGGCCUACCAAGGCGACGACGGGUAGCCGGCCUGAGAGGGCGACCGGCCACACUGGGACUGAGACACGGCCCAGACUCCUACGGGAGGCAGCAGUGGGGAAUAUUGCACAAUGGGCGCAAGCCUGAUGCAGCGACGCCGCGUGAGGGAUGACGGCCUC
This 411-nucleotide ribosomal RNA is filed under the name uncultured microorganism. RNAcentral describes it as "bacterial SSU rRNA". It matches the Rfam family "Bacterial small subunit ribosomal RNA", at positions 9 to 418 of the family's 1533-position model. The record is from RNAcentral.